GACCUCAAAUCAGGUAGGACUACCCGCUGAACUUAAGCAUAUCAUA
RNAcentral lists this ribosomal RNA (46 nucleotides) under Tomophagus colossus. RNAcentral's name for it is "partial 28S ribosomal RNA". The record is from RNAcentral. Lineage: Eukaryota; Fungi; Basidiomycota; Agaricomycetes; Polyporales; Polyporaceae. RNAcentral also lists the same sequence under 12 other names.